GCCUAGGGCAUGGAAUGAAAUUAACCACCGUUAAUCCUCCUGGACCCAAUCUCCCCAUCAAGUAGCAGCUGUAUUUCGCGUCUUCCAGCCCUAAAUUGACCGUAUGGUUUUGUUUUAAAAUUCAAGGAAUAAAAUAUUGAAGAAGAAGUAUAACUCCUUUCAUGAUCAGUGAAUAUGCUGGGUCCCGUUAGCGCCUAACUCUGGCUCCGGAGGAUGCCGAACAUCUGGAUUAGAAGAUUCAGUCCAUCAUGUAGCUGUUGUUUCUACACGCAGGGAAAGGCAAAUAUCAUCCUCCCCUUCUCCACGGGAGAGAAGAGAGGGGCUCAGGAAUGAGCCAUUCAAGUUCACGAGCCUAGCAAGUAUGGAGUUGCGACUCUGUUAUGGACCCUUGGUCUCCAAACUCAGCAUCCUUGCCCCGCUCCUGCUCGAGAGCACUGUUCGCAGACAAGAGUGCUGACUAUAACAUGCACACAUCUGCACCCCAGUCCCCACAACUGGGGUCCCCAAUGAUGUGCCUGUGUUCGCUCACCCAUAUGUCCAGAGGGGCGACUGCAGGACCAUGAAUGGCCCAGCGUCUGUUUUCACUCACAGCACUAACCCUGCCCCCUGAUGGAGGCGCCGCAGUUCAGAUUCAUUAAGUUGAUACAAUACCGUGAGCUGUUCCUCUGGCUCAUCAACUACUUACUCCGCUUCCUCAAAGAGAUUCCCGAUGUUCUUCAGCGGCUCUGCGGCCGGGCUCUGGGCCAGGAUGUCUCUGAUCUCGUUGACUUUCUUCUCCACUGAGUCCACAGUCUCCCGGUAAGGCCCGAUCACACCACUGAUCUUCAAGGCCUUGGCCUUCUCCAGGAACUUCUGGGUCCUGUUGGUCAGCUCAGCGAUGAUCACAUCCCAAAGGGCAAAGCACUGGUGGCAGGGCGUGCAGUCGGGGAAGACCCCCGAGUACCCUCGAGUGCACUUGUCGCAGCGGGGACCCUCCACACCCUCGACGCAGACACACUGGCCGGUGGACUGGUUACACUGCGGCGUCUCGAUGCCCCUGGGGUCGCAGUCACAGGCUAGAAGGGAGACAGCAGUGCUGGCUGAUCACCUAGAUGACAUACCUCAGCGAUUUGGCACUUAAGAAUCUUCAGCCACUGCUGCAAUGGGAAGGUUUGCAUGUGGUCCAGGACAGUUUACCAACAGCCCCCAGACACCGCAGCUGCUUCUUCCAGAACACACAUCCUCUCAACCCUGGCUAACCACUUCUCAACAGUAACAGUGAUAAUAAAUUUUAAGUGAGCACUUUCUGUGCCUGUCAUU
This is a long non-coding RNA of Phacochoerus africanus (Common warthog), 1299 nucleotides long. RefSeq lists it as uncharacterized. The record is from RefSeq and is a predicted model, not a curated record. Lineage: Eukaryota; Metazoa; Chordata; Mammalia; Artiodactyla; Suidae. The transcript has 2 exons.